CCUACGGGUGGCAGCAGUGAGGAAUAUUGGUCAAUGGGCGCGAGCCUGAACCAGCCAAGUCGCGUGAAGGAAGACGGUCCUAUGGGUUGUAAACCUCUUUUGUAGAGGAAUAAAGUGCGGCACGCGUGCCUUUCCGUGUGUACCCUAUGAAUAAGGAUCGGCUAACUCCGUGCCAGCAGCCGCGGUAAUACGGAGGAUCCGAGCGUUAUCCGGAUUUAUUGGGUUUAAAGGGUGCGCAGGUGGGUAAUUAAGUCAGCGGUGAAAGUUUGUGGCUCAACCAUAACAUUGCCGUUGAAACUGGUUGACUUGAGUGUAUUAGAGGUAGGCGGAAUGCGUGGUGUAGCGGUGAAAUGCAUAGAUAUCACGCAGAACUCCGAUUGCGAAGGCAGCAUACUAGAGUAUAACUGACACUGAUGCACGAAAGCGUGGGGAUCGAACAGGAUUAGAUACCCUGGUAGUC
This 460-nucleotide ribosomal RNA is filed under the name uncultured bacterium. RNAcentral describes it as "partial 16S ribosomal RNA". It matches the Rfam family "Bacterial small subunit ribosomal RNA", at positions 338 to 795 of the family's 1533-position model. The record is from RNAcentral.